GGUUGGGAGAGUUGGUUCCUUGCCACAGGUUUUUGCACUAGGAAAGUCUAGAUGUUUUUUGCACUAGGAAUGUCCAGAUUUUUUUUUGUUAGAUAGGAAGGGUUUUGAUCCCAUUAAGCAUUUAUCUGUGGAAGUGAGUUGCAGAAUCAUAUAUUAUUAUAUGCUGUUUAGAAUGUUUGUAUGUGAUUUUCUAUGUUUUUUUU
Molecule: unclassified non-coding RNA, 203 nt
Filed under: Hevea brasiliensis (rubber tree)
Lineage: Eukaryota; Viridiplantae; Streptophyta; Magnoliopsida; Malpighiales; Euphorbiaceae
Source: RNAcentral